CCCGGGCCUUGUACACACCGCCCGUCACAUCACGAAAGUCGGCUGUACCAGAAAUCGGUGGGCCAACCCGCAAGGGGGUAGCCGCUUAAGGUAUGGUCGGUGAUUGGGUG
Molecule: ribosomal RNA, 110 nt
Filed under: uncultured bacterium
Lineage: Bacteria
Description: partial 16S ribosomal RNA
Rfam family: Bacterial small subunit ribosomal RNA
Source: RNAcentral